CAGGAUUCCCCUAGUAACGGCGAGUGAAGCGGGAAGAGCUCAAAUUUAAAAUCUGUAAGGUUCACCCUUGCCGAAUUGUAGUUUGAAGAAGUGUUUUCCGCGGCGGCUGCAGUACAAAUCCUUUGGAACAGGGUAUCAGAGAGGGUGAGAAUCCCGUCUUUGACUGUAGACUAGUUGCACUGUGAUACACUUUCUAAGAGUCGAGUUGUUUGGGAAUGCAGCUCAAAAUGGGUGGUAAAUUUCAUCUAAAGCUAAAUAUUGGCAAGAGACCGAUAGCGAACAAGUACCGUGAGGGAAAGAUGAAAAGAACUUUGAAAAGAGAGUUAAAUAGUACGUGAAAUUGUUAAAAGGGAAACGCUUGAAGUCAGUGUUGCCGGCGGAAAAUCAGCUUCAUGUGGACGGUUUGCUGCGGUGGAGGGAGUGUUAAAACCCCUUGCGGUAGUACAACUGGCCGGAUGGAGUGCACUUUUCAGUCGGCAGGUCAACAUCAAUUUCAGCCGGUGGAAAAAAACCAGUGGAACGUAGGUUGGAGCAAUCUGACUGUUAUAGCCACAGGUGUAUACACCGGCGGGGAUUGAGGACAGCAGUGUAGGCCAUUAUGGCGGAAGCUUCGAGUUUUUCUCCGGGGGGCACGUCAAGACAGCAUGCUGACUUGGUGUGUACACUCUUGGGAACGACGCGGAUAUACUUCUCCUGCACUAAGGAUGUUGACGAAAUGGCUUUAAACGACCCGUCUUGAAACACGGACCAAGGAGUCUAACAAAUAUGCGAGUAUUUGGGUGGCAAACCCAUAUGCGCAAUGAAAGUGAAUGUAGGUGGGAUCCCAGCGAUGGGAGCACCAUCGACCGAUCUGGAUUAAUUUAUGAUAGAUUUGAGUAAGAGCAUAUCUGUUGGGACCCGAAAGAUGGUGAACUAUGCCUGAAUAGGGUGAAGCCAGAGGAAACUCUGGUGGAGGCUCGUAGCGAUUCUGACGUGCAAAUCGAUCGUCAAAUUUGGGUAUAGGGGCGAAAGACUAAU
RNAcentral lists this ribosomal RNA (1017 nucleotides) under Basidiobolus heterosporus. Its description in RNAcentral is "eukaryotic LSU rRNA". It matches the Rfam family "Eukaryotic large subunit ribosomal RNA", at positions 70 to 935 of the family's 3401-position model. Lineage: Eukaryota; Fungi; Basidiobolomycota; Basidiobolomycetes; Basidiobolales; Basidiobolaceae. The record is from RNAcentral.